This is an RNA transcript of Passer domesticus (house sparrow), 5045 nucleotides long. It is a transcript of the gene named cAMP and cAMP-inhibited cGMP 3',5'-cyclic phosphodiesterase 10A-like, with no coding region annotated. The transcript is spliced from 4 exons. NCBI's taxonomy places the organism in Eukaryota, Metazoa, Chordata, Aves, Passeriformes, Passeridae. The record is from RefSeq and is a predicted model, not a curated record.
CGGCGGGGGCGGACCGGCCGUGCGCAGGCGGCUCCGGCGCGGAUGCCGAGCCCCCGGCACAGCGGCGGGAGCGGCGGCGGCGGCGGGAGCCCCGGCCCCGCGAUAAAAAGGGAAGGGGCCGGAGGUGCGCGCUGCGGGUCCGCCCGGCGGAACGUGCCUGGAGGGGCUGGCGGCAGGCUGAGCCGGCGGGGGAGCGGGAGGCUGUGCCCAGCCGUGAGCCGCCUCCCUCGCCCGCUCCCGCCCUCCCUCCCGCAGGAAUCCCGGCACCGGGACGCGCGGCUCCCGCGGGCUGCGCAGCGCUGGCGAGGAGGAGCCGCCGCCACAUCCUGCGGCACCGGCCCGGCCGGCGCAGGUGGCAGUGUAGAAGCCAAGAACAAAAAUUGGCAGAAAUUGUGUUCUGUGUACGAGAAUGUGAAGAGUGUACUCAUGACUAAGCACAGGAACCUGGAAAACCACAGGCUUUAGUCAGGUGAUCCCUGAUGAGUAGCCAGCCCACCAAGAAGGGACUUGAGCACACAGCAGACUGGAAGCGUGUUUUGGAUGAUCAUUGCUUGAGAGGAUCGGGGAAUGUUCCCUCUGAUGGAUGGGACAGUCGUGGCAGCUCUGCCCCGGUGGUGGUUCAGUGAAGCACUGAAGUCAGCUCUUCAUUUCAUGGAUGUGAGGAGCACCGCUGACCUCAGCAGGACUGCAGGCACCUCUUGAUCCUGUCACUGGCAAACUGGUCCCAGAGACAAAGAAAUAGCUCAGCUUGAGCUGAAUCUGCAGAAGAGAUCAGUGUGUAACUGCGUGUCUUGAUGAAUUAAGCAAUUUUCCUUGAGAUUGCUCCUACAGGUUGGUACCAUUCUUGGAAAAGGGCAACACAGAAGCUCUGGAACACAGAGCAAAGUCAGGCCUGGUUACUGCUUAAAUCUAGUCCUAAUUAGGAGCUUUUUGUUCCUAAUACUGAAUAAAAGGAAGAAGAAUCCUUAAUUCAGUAUUCUACAUAACAACAGGUGAAUGUAGCAGGAUGAAGGCAGAUGACAUUUCUGGAAACACAAAGAACCUCCUGUGACUGAAGGAGCAUCAUUAAAAGCAGUAAGAAUGGUGGUUGCAAAAUCAGUUGAAUAUUGGAUCACACGGGAAUUAAUUUGCUUAGCUGUAACAGAGGAACUAGUGGGAAAAAAGACAUAAAAUCCUCUUUCUGCCCUGUGCUGAUGAGAAUCACUGAAUAGCUCCACAUCAUGUCCUCGGUGAUUUGGGAAAAGCAUCAUUAAUGCUGGGUGAGCUCUGCACCCCAGAGCACCCAGGAUGGGUGAUGUUUCCUUCAUCUUCCAGAGGAGCCUCCUCUGGCUGCAGGGAGACACCAGAAGUCCUUAAAUGUCCAGUGAAAGCUUCUCCAUACAAAGCUUCAGUCAUGUUACACCUGAACACAUGUUUUUGGACAUCUGUCUUCCAUUGAAAAACAGAAGGCUGAAAAAUGUUUCUGAGUCUUUGGAGGGGAGAAGGGGAGGGAAACGACAGAGGAUGCAGCUUUUCCAGCAUCAGGAUUCUUGAAACAGUUCUCCAGCAGGGUCAAGUGUCUCAUUCUUUCUCAAGACCUCAUUUUUAUGCUGCUUUAUAUUUACCCAGGCUCCUUCCUGCACACAGGGAGCUGCUCAGGCUUGGAAACAGACACAUGUAAGACAAAUUGUUCAGUACUGGGUGAAGAGCUCCAUAAAACCCCAACAGCUUUGGGUGCUCUAAUUUGCACCUUGGCAAAAUAUAUGUAUCUAUUCGCACUGAAGGUGGGACUGACAACAGAAGAGCUUUCCAUAAAGAGGAAGAAUGCCUUCAGGGAAAGGGGGAAAAGCUGUUUUUCAUGUAAAGUAUUCCACUUCUCAAUUUUGUAAACUGAUAAAAGGGUGGACAGCAUGGGCACUCAGCAACUAAUGGGAAAGGUGAGGCUCUUCAGAGCUCAACUCGUCCCCUGGCAGCAGAAAUGGCCCUGUUUGCCAGGUGCCAGCCAGCAGGUGCAGAAUGUCCCAAGGCAUUCUCCCUCAGAGGGCCACCAAAAUCCCCAAAGAGGACAGCUCCGAGGGGUCAGCUGUGCCUGAGGUCCACACAUCACCCUCAGGUGUCUAGAAAUAGGGGGUUUUUUUUGUUUAUAUUUUUUUUAUUAUUAUUCAACCCAAGUUUGCCAGAUAUUUGAGCUAUUUCUUUGUCUCUGACCAGUUUGCCAGUGACAGAAGAGAGGAGCAGCAGUGGCUGGGUGACCUGGCCCUGGAACAGGCUCCGUGCAGGGCUGCCACAGCCGAUCCCUUUGGCCACUGCUCCACCAGCCCUGCAGAGGAAAUGUGAGGAGUGAGGAGCAAGGGCAGAUUUUUCUGGGCUCAGUGGCUUUGAGACAGCACCUGGCAGCACAGUGCCCACACAGACAGCAGCCUUCACAAGAAGUUGGCUCUGGCCCACAGCAAGUUCUGAGUUCUCCCAGGCAGAGGGUCCAGGCAGUGAGCAUCUUCCUGAAGGGAUGUUUUUGGCAUAAGGGGAAUGUGGAUGGAAACAGCUCUGAUUUAAAUUGCCUAAAGUAGUAUUUCCUGGGGAAAAUAACUCCAGUGAGGUUUGUCUGCAGCCCUGUUGGGGGAGAUGCCUGUCACUUAGGCAGAGGAUGAUGCUGUGUGUGGUUCCUCCGUAGUUUGUGGCAGAUUCUUCCCUCCCUCCCUGCCCUGGCUCCUCUCUGUCACCUGGUCAUCAGUCCCAGGUCUGGUUUGCUUUUCUUCCCCCCCUGCCAAUUCCUUCCUCUCCUGCUACUCUGUACCAGCAAAUCGAGGCAGGUGAAUUGCUGAAUUUUACAGAAAAUGGCCACUGGCACUGCACCAGGGACCUCCCUCACCUCUGGCUGCACUCAGUGCCUGUCAGGUCUCUGGUGAGGGUGGGAGGGGGUUGGGGGGAGCAGCCAAGUGAAGUGCUUCAAGCUGUGAGACAUUUUCUGUUUAUGUUGCAGGCCAAACCUCUUGGAUUUGAACCAGAAUGGCCACUUUUUUUUCCCUUCUUUUUUUUUUCUUUUUUUCUUUAUCUUUUUUUUUUUUUUUUUGAGGCAGAUAUGUCUGUGGAGAGCAGGAAAGAGUAGCACAUAUCCUGGUUGUGGUGUUCUCUCAGGGAAAACAAUAAUGUGAAGCAACACACUCCCUGCUGCAGGCUGCACAUUGUCCUGCUCCAUGGGAACAGUGGCUGGGACAGCUGGCAUCGCUCCCUAAAUAGGGAGCAGCUCUCUGGUGCAAAUUCACCUCUGCACCACCAAAAUCACCACUGCCACGCUGCUUCAGAUUUUCCUUUGGAGGGGCAGAUUGCUCAGAAGGAAGUAGCAAGGCAAGCCCAGUGUCAUGUGGAAUAGCUGAAAUUCCUCAAGUUCCUUUUUGCCAGGAUUUCAAGCUGUGAAAGACACAUGAUCUCCACUGCUUGAGACUUUAACUGAGGAUUUUCCCCAACAGAGAUGGAUAGGUAGCUGCACAAUUUUUCUCUUUUUUUCCUACAUCUGAGUUAAAUCAUUGUUAAGGCCUGCAUUUGGAAACAGUAACCUCAGAUGGGGUUUAUCAAAAGGAAUAUAUGACUCCUUACCCUCAGGAACUGAUCUGCCCUACGAUCACUUUUAGAGGAAAAUACAAUUAAUUCAAAUUUUUUCACCUUUUCUGCCAUUCACAUUGUUCACAGCACCCCAUGAAACAAGGGGUUGAGAUCCAGUGGCCUCAGACCCCUUAUUGCUGUAUUUGGUCUCAGUCAGGGGCCAGUAACAAGCUGUAUCUAUAAAUCUCUCUUGUAUGCCUAUAGCAGGAGCUGCUGUCCAUUUUCACAUUGAUAGGGGAUGAAGUUUAAAUACUGAACAGCUUCAUGCUGAUAUUCACUGAUUCAUCAGAAGCAGAUGAGGUGAGGAAAAGAGCAGUUUUAUUCCUUGCCACAUCAGUGGUUUUUUAAUUGCCCAGCCCAGUCCAUCAGGGGGUACCUGGUAAAAUGAAGAGGCAUUGCCAUUUGAGGGGAGAAGAAGGUUGUCAAUAAUUUGUGGACAGGAGUGUUGAAACUGCCUCUUAAAUAAAGUUAGAGAUCAGCAACCUUUGAGGAGAUGGCGAGAAGAUUUGGAUUUGAAAAAAAACAGCUGUAGGAGGCACCAAAGGAGCAUGGUGUAAAUGCAGGUUAGCAUGAUUUAGCAAGAAGACCCUGUGACUCUGAGCUCCUUGGAAGAAAAUGGGGUGUAAUUUACUUUAAUUUAUUUAUCACUCAUGUCUUUAUGAACCUUUGAAAUUCUUGUUAUCUGUUCCAGAUUUUUUUUCCCAGAUAAGUAUUUCAAUGAACUUAAGAUCACAGUUCAUUUCCAGAUCAUUUCCAGAUAAUUAGCAAACAAAGGCAUUACACAUAGAAUUCCUUCUCCCUGUGUGUCUGGAGCACCCACACAAAGAGCCAACACCUCUCUGCAGUGUCCAAGGUUUCCAUUUUCCAUGCCUUUGCUUCCCAGGGCAGCUUGAGAGCUGAUAGUGCAGGGACAGGAGGAGAGGAACUGUUUCCAGGUGACCCCAUGCGAACCAGGGCAGAAAGGAACAUCCCUUCACCUACAGAAGGUUUGCCACAGAUUUCACUCAGGGCCAGGAUUUUACUCAGGGUCUGUGAAGCUCUUGGCUGGCCUGAGGAUUUGAGUGCUUUUGGAGCACAUUUACCGAGCAUGAAUAACCAAGUCAGCAACGUGCAGCUGCCAGCUCAGCCAUGGGAAUGCAGGAUGAGCUCCCUGCUGGGUAAAAAUAGGGCAGGUAAAAGCACAAGGAACCACGGUGCUGCCGCAGUUAUUUCAAUUUUACCCAAAGCUUUGAAUGCAGCCAAUUACAGCUGGUGAAAAGCAGCUCUAUCACCUCCAUUUGAAUUUUUUUUUUCUUCUAAUGCAGAUAUCUACAGCUUUGUAUUAUUGCCUUAAUUUUGGAAAUGAGAAAGGAGAAAAGAGAAGGAAUGACACUUGUCCCUGAUGAUACAGGCAUUGUCAGACCCAUGAGGGAGGCUCUGAAAUGCCUCCUCUUACUCUUGUUCUCAUUCCUCUGGGUUAUAAAGAU